RNAcentral lists this ribosomal RNA (253 nucleotides) under uncultured bacterium. RNAcentral describes it as "partial 16S ribosomal RNA". It matches the Rfam family "Bacterial small subunit ribosomal RNA", at positions 524 to 776 of the family's 1533-position model. The record is from RNAcentral.
UACGGAGGGAGCUAGCGUUGUUCGGAAUUACUGGGCGUAAAGCGCACGUAGGCGGCUACUCAAGUCAGAGGUGAAAGCCCGGGGCUCAACCCCGGAACUGCCUUUGAAACUAGGUAGCUAGAAUCUUGGAGAGGUCAGUGGAAUUCCGAGUGUAGAGGUGAAAUUCGUAGAUAUUCGGAAGAACACCAGUGGCGAAGGCGACUGACUGGACAAGCAUUGACGCUGAGGUGCGAAAGCGUGGGGAGCAAACAGG